Molecule: ribosomal RNA, 218 nt
Filed under: uncultured bacterium
Lineage: Bacteria
Description: partial 16S ribosomal RNA
Rfam family: Bacterial small subunit ribosomal RNA
Source: RNAcentral
GAUGAACGCUAGCGGCAGGCUUAAUACAUGCAAGUCGAACGGUAAGAGAUGUAGCAAUACAUUUCCUAGAGUGACGUACGGGUGCGUAACACGUAUGCAACCUACCUGUAACAGGAGUAUAGCUCGGGGAAACGUACGAAUUAACCCUCCAUAAGAUCGUGAAGUGGCAUCACUUAGCGCUUAAAACUAGAGGUGGUUACAGAUGGGCAUGCGUCUGA